ACUUAACCUGCAAGCAGAGCCAGAUAGCUGAGAACAUUCUGAAACUACAGAUCUUGCCCCCAGAGAGAGGUGUGGGCCAUGCCCUUUGGGUUCCCGAGAUUUUCGAGAGAAACAAUGUGCAGAUUUUGACAAUAUGCCUUUCCGAGGAAAGUAUUAUAACUGGAAACCCUAUACUGGAGGUGGAGUAAAACCUUGUGCAUUAAACUGUUUGGCUGAAGGUUACAAUUUCUACACCGAACGUGCCCCUGCGGUGAUCGAUGGGACUCAGUGCAAUGCAGAUUCACUGGAUAUCUGUAUCAAUGGAGAAUGCAAGGUUGCACACAUUGCAGUACUGUUUUGUUGGGAUUUUCUGAGACCUUUGUCUUUUUCUCAAAUAGUAUUUAAUCUAUGCUUAGCUUUUUAA
RNAcentral lists this long non-coding RNA (403 nucleotides) under Cavia porcellus (domestic guinea pig). RNAcentral's name for it is "lncRNA (ENSCPOG00000035843.1)". The record is from RNAcentral. Lineage: Eukaryota; Metazoa; Chordata; Mammalia; Rodentia; Caviidae.